RNAcentral lists this ribosomal RNA (497 nucleotides) under uncultured bacterium. RNAcentral's name for it is "partial 16S ribosomal RNA". It matches the Rfam family "Bacterial small subunit ribosomal RNA", at positions 28 to 507 of the family's 1533-position model. The record is from RNAcentral.
GAUGAACGCUGGCGGCGUUCCUAAUACAUGCAAGUCGAGCGAACGGACGAGAAGCUUGCUUUUCUGAUGUUAGCGGCGGACGUGUGAGUAAUACGUGGAUAACCUACCUAUAAGACUGGGAUAACUUCGGGAAACCGUAGCUAAUACCGGAUAAUAUUUUGAACCGCAUGGUUCAAAAGUGAAAGACGGUCUUGCUGUCACUUAUAGAUGGACCCGCGCUGCAUUAGCUAGUUGGUAAUGUAACGGCUUACCAAGGCAACGAUGCAUAGCCGACCUGAGAGAGUGAUCGGCCGCGCUGGACCUGAGACACGGUCCAGGCUCCUGCGGGAGGCCGCAGUAGGGAAUCUUCCGCAAUGGGCGCAAGCCUGACGGAGCAACGCCGCGUGAGUGAUGAAGGUCUUCGGAUCGUAAAACUCUGUUAUUAGGGAAGAACAGAUGUGUAAGUAACUGUGCACAGCUUGACGGUACCUAAUCAGAAAGCCACGGCUAACUACAUG